RNAcentral lists this ribosomal RNA (440 nucleotides) under uncultured Bacteroidota bacterium. RNAcentral describes it as "bacterial SSU rRNA". It matches the Rfam family "Bacterial small subunit ribosomal RNA", at positions 917 to 1359 of the family's 1533-position model. The record is from RNAcentral. Lineage: Bacteria; Pseudomonadati; Bacteroidota.
GGGCCCGCACAAGCGGAGGAACAUGUGGUUUAAUUCGAUGAUACGCGAGGAACCUUACCCGGGCUCGAACGGCAGUGGAAUAAGUGUGAAAGCAUUUAGUCUUCGGACCGCUGUCGAGGUGCUGCAUGGUUGUCGUCAGCUCGUGCCGUGAGGUGUCGGCUUAAGUGCCAUAACGAGCGCAACCCUUAUCUUUAGUUACCAUCAGGUUAAGCUGGGGACUCUGGAGAGACUGCCACCGUAAGGUGAGAGGAAGGUGGGGAUGACGUCAAAUCAGCACGGCCCUUACGUCCGGGGCGACACACGUGUUACAAUGGGGGGACAGAAGGCUGCUACCGGGCGACCGGAUGCUAAUCCUCAAACCCUCUCCCAGUUCGGAUCGGAGUCUGCAACUCGACUCCGUGAAGCUGGAUUCGCUAGUAAUCGCGCAUCAGCCCAUGGCG